RNAcentral lists this ribosomal RNA (252 nucleotides) under uncultured bacterium. RNAcentral's name for it is "partial 16S ribosomal RNA". It matches the Rfam family "Bacterial small subunit ribosomal RNA", at positions 524 to 776 of the family's 1533-position model. The record is from RNAcentral.
UACGUAGGGGGCAAGCGUUGUCCGGAUUUAUUGGGCGUAAAGAGCGUGUAGGCGGCUUGGUAGGUCUUGCGUCAAAACCUGAGGCUCAACCUCAGUUCGCGUGGGAAACCACCUAGCUAGGGUCCGGAAGAGGAGAACGGAAUUCCCAGUGUAGCGGUGAAAUGCGCAGAUAUUGGGAAGAACACCAGUGGCGAAGGCGGUUCUCUGGGACGGUACUGACGCUGAGACGCGAAAGCGUGGGGAGCGAACAGG